Molecule: non-coding RNA, 114 nt
Filed under: human gut metagenome
Description: yjdF RNA
Rfam family: azaaromatic riboswitch aptamer (yjdF RNA)
Source: RNAcentral
AAGCAAGGAUAAAAACGCAACGUAUGCCAUGCGCAUGCCAGAGCCGGUAGGUAGCCCGGCCGCUGUGGUCUUUCCGCGGUAAGUAACCCUCCCCUCCGGGUCGUCCGUUCUUUG